CGUUAGCGGCGGACGGGUGAGUAACACGUGGGUAACCUACCUAUAAGACUGGGAUAACUUCGGGAAACCGGAGCUAAUACCGGAUAAUAUUUCGAACCGCAUGGUUCGAUAGUGAAAGAUGGUUUUGCUAUCACUUAUAGAUGGACCUGCGCCGUAUUAGCUAGCUGGUAAGGUAACGGCUUACCAAGGCGACGAUACGUAGCCGACCUGAGAGGGUGAUCGGCCACACUGGAACUGAGACACGGUCCAGACUCCUACGGGAGGCAGCAGGC
This 272-nucleotide ribosomal RNA is filed under the name uncultured Staphylococcus sp. RNAcentral describes it as "partial 16S ribosomal RNA". It matches the Rfam family "Bacterial small subunit ribosomal RNA", at positions 90 to 354 of the family's 1533-position model. The record is from RNAcentral. Lineage: Bacteria; Bacillati; Bacillota; Bacilli; Caryophanales; Staphylococcaceae.